Molecule: ribosomal RNA, 492 nt
Filed under: uncultured bacterium
Lineage: Bacteria
Description: partial 16S ribosomal RNA
Rfam family: Bacterial small subunit ribosomal RNA
Source: RNAcentral
AGUGAACGCUGGCGGUAGGCCUAACACAUGCAAGUCGAACGGCAGCACAGUAAGAGCUUGCUCUUACGGGUGGCGAGUGGCGGACGGGUGAGGAAUACAUCGGAAUCUGCUUUUUCGUGGGGGAUAACGUAGGGAUACUUACGCUAAUACCGCAUACGACCUACGGGUGAAAGCAGGGGAUCUUCGGACCUUGCGCGAUUGAAUGAGCCGAUGUCGGAUUAGCUAGUUGGCGGGGUAAAGGCCCACCAAGGCGACGAUCCGUAGCUGGUCUGAGAGGAUGAUCAGCCACACUGGAACUGAGACACGGUCCAGACUCCUACGGGAGGCAGCAGUGGGGAAUAUUGGACAAUGGGCGCAAGCCUGAUCCAGCCAUACCGCGUGGGUGAAGAAGGCCUUCGGGUUGUAAAGCCCUUUUGUUGGGAAAGAAAAGCAGCAGGUUAAUACCCCGCUGUUCUGACGGUACCCAAAGAAUAAGCACCGGCCAACUUCGUG